This 256-nucleotide ribosomal RNA is filed under the name uncultured bacterium. RNAcentral's name for it is "partial 16S ribosomal RNA". It matches the Rfam family "Bacterial small subunit ribosomal RNA", at positions 524 to 776 of the family's 1533-position model. The record is from RNAcentral.
UACGUAGGGUGCGAGCGUUUAAUCGGAAUUACUGGGCGUAAAGCGUGCGCAGGCGGUUUUGUAAGCCAGAUGUGAAAUCCCCGGGCUUAACCUGGGAAUGGCAUUUGGGACUGCAAGGCUUGAGUGCGGCAGAGGAGACUGGAAUUCCUGGUGUAGGCAGUGAAAUGCGUAGAUAUCAGGAGGAACACCGGAUGGCGAAGGCAGGUCUCUGGGCCGAUACUGACGCUGAGGAGCGAAAGCGUGGGGAGCAAACAGG